This 494-nucleotide ribosomal RNA is filed under the name uncultured bacterium. Its description in RNAcentral is "partial 16S ribosomal RNA". It matches the Rfam family "Bacterial small subunit ribosomal RNA", at positions 28 to 507 of the family's 1533-position model. The record is from RNAcentral.
GACGAACGCUGGCGGCGUGCUUAACACAUGCAAGUCGAACGGUGAAGCGUCUUCCUUUUUGGUGGGUGUGGAUGAGUGGCGAACGGGUGAGUAACACGUGAGUAACCUGCCCCCUUCUUCUGGAUAACCGCAUGAAAGUGUGGCUAAUACGGGAUAUUCUGGGUCUGUCGCAUGAUGGGUCUGGGAAAGAUAUUGUUUCGGUGGGGGAUGGGCUCGCGGCCUAUCAGCUUGUUGGUGGGGUGAUGGCCUACCAAGGCGGUGACGGGUAGCCGGCCUGAGAGGGUGGACGGUCACACUGGGACUGAGACACGGCCCAGACUCCUACGGGAGGCAGCAGUGGGGAAUAGUGCACAAUGGGCGCAAGCCUGAUGCAGCGACGCCGCGUGAGGGAUGGAGGCCUUCGGGUUGUGAACCUCUUUCGCCAGUGAAGCAGGCCUGCCUCGUUUGUGGGUGGGUUGACGGUAGCUGGAUAAGAAGCGCCGGCUAACUACGUG